GGCGAUUUAGCUCAGUGGUAGAGCGCUUGCCUAGCAAGCGCAAGGCCCUGGGUUCGGUCCCCAGCUCCA
Non-coding RNA from Rattus norvegicus (Norway rat), 69 nucleotides. The record is from Rfam. Lineage: Eukaryota; Metazoa; Chordata; Mammalia; Rodentia; Muridae.